GUUGAUUACCAAGCAUGUACCUGUGAGGGACUGGCCUCCUGCUGCUGGGAAAAAAGACUAUGCCGGGAAGAUUACAAAAGAAUAUCAUGAAGGUGUCUGAAGAGGAGGAUCGCUUGGACAGUUGACUGAAUGGGAGAACAUAACAUAGAUUAGCAUGAUGCCACCAACAGCUAGGAUGACUGACACAGGUUUAAUUCCUUCCUUGUCAUGAAACACCAGUUAGAGAGAAGAAAAGAAAAAGAAGAAAAAGGAAGAGAGAGCGAGAGAAAGAUUUCUCUAGACGAAGAAAUUACACAUGUAUUUCUGCAUCUUCACCGAUAGUCCAAUUAUCCAUGUUCUCAUAACUUGUCGUUUCAAGUCGGUAUUGCGUGGUGCUUCUGAGAUUUGAGAAUGUUUAUUGAAAACAAAUACAUGUGAUAAGCAUUCUUAAUUAUUGACAAUACAUAAAUACGACCAGGGGCUGCCGACAAUAGUCAUUUAAUGGCUCUCAACAGUUUAAGGUCUAUGUGCUGUGCACAGGUCCGAGAAGCGAAGAUUGAGUCUAACGAAUAAAAUAUAAAGUGAGGGGAGGGGUUGAUACACGAAUGAGGAUGUUACAGAUGAAAGGAUUGGAAUGUGAAAGGGUAAAAGGGUGGGGAAGAAGAGAGCGAUGUCUCCGCCUCCUUCUGUAGAACCACGAUAUGAAAACUAUAUAUUUUUAAAAUGAACCAGUGAAAAGAGGAAAAGUCAGCUAAUCGCACAGCGGCAUACAUCUUUUGCUGAUCAACACCCGGGUAGAAUUUAUGGGGGAGGCGGCGCUAGCUUGUGUUGAUUACCCGGGUAGAAGGAAAGGGUGGAAGCCGAAAGGUCUUCUGAAGUCCAAUCUCCCUUUCUGUGUUGAUGUUUUGAAUCGCAGUGUAUAUCCAGUUUGAGGACGAAUUUUAGUGAUCAAAUUUUACUCUUUCGCUUGGAAUACAUCGAUGAUUAUGUGAACAGAGGACAUCACAACAGUGGAAUGUGAGUUAGAAAAACGAGCGCAAAAAAUUGUCUGUCAGAGGCAGGCUGUGUUGUUUUGUCGCCGUUGGCGGUCUGGAGACACAGAAGGGAUGUUCAGUUCAGAUGGCCGGCCUUCCGUUACUGGAUCAAUCCGUGGCCGGGUCAGUGGUUCCAAGUUCGCUGGUCCUACCUACCAUCUGUACCGUGGGUCCAAGUCACUUUUCUGGAGAGGUCGAGGUUCCACUUGAGCUGGAGAUUCGUUGCAAUACGCAGAGCAGUGUGUAGAGGAAUCGUCAGUCACGAAUUAAAACUCCACAGAGGAUGAAGUCUAGAAGAAAGAAAGCCAUGUUGUCCAAAGCUUACAGAAAGUUUUUCUAGACAAUGAAUAUGCGACACAUUUUUUUUUUUACUCCCCUUGUAACGAAAGUUCGACGGUCAAGGCUGACAGGAGAACCAACACCUGUCUCCAAACCAGGUGAAGCCAAGUGGAUCAGAUGGUCGUGAUGGACGAAACUCUGCUUGGAAUCUGGGUGGUGUCUGACACAUGAGCUCCUAACUCACAGUCGUUACCCUUCGUUUACCAGCAAACCUGGGCCUCAGGGUGAAAGUAUUCACCUCUCACCACAACAAAGACUUUAUACAAUAUAUUACCUUUGGCAACACUUUAUGGCAAGAGGACAGAGCUGUAAUAUUGUUUAGGAACCAUUCGAUCUACUUCGAAUAUUAAAACAAAAACACAUCAUGU
Pomacea canaliculata is the source of this 1720-nucleotide long non-coding RNA. RefSeq lists it as uncharacterized. The transcript is spliced from 3 exons. Lineage: Eukaryota; Metazoa; Mollusca; Gastropoda; Architaenioglossa; Ampullariidae. The record is from RefSeq and is a predicted model, not a curated record.